RNAcentral lists this non-coding RNA (62 nucleotides) under Mycobacterium heidelbergense. RNAcentral's name for it is "Fluoride sequence". It matches the Rfam family "Fluoride riboswitch aptamer (crcB RNA motif)". The record is from Rfam by way of RNAcentral. Lineage: Bacteria; Bacillati; Actinomycetota; Actinomycetes; Mycobacteriales; Mycobacteriaceae.
ACUGACAGCGGCGAUGGAGCCCGCCCUGAACCGCCGAUCCGGCUGAUGGCCCCUGCGAACAU